AUAUAUAUAUAUAUAUAUAUAUAUAUAUAUAUAUAUAUAUAUAUGAAAUAAUUGAGAUUCAGUUGAAUUAGGUACUUAAGUUGAAGCCCCAAGUCAGUCUGGUAUCAUCUGCCCAGGUCGAAGUAAGGUGAAUAAAAUCAAACUAAGCAACAGGAUAU
Molecule: long non-coding RNA, 158 nt
Organism: Octopus sinensis (East Asian common octopus)
Lineage: Eukaryota; Metazoa; Mollusca; Cephalopoda; Octopoda; Octopodidae
Exons: 3
Source: RefSeq, a predicted model, not a curated record